RNAcentral lists this long non-coding RNA (335 nucleotides) under Lathyrus oleraceus (garden pea). RNAcentral's name for it is "Pisum sativum (pea) long non-coding RNA (PSAT_LNC013879)". The record is from RNAcentral. Lineage: Eukaryota; Viridiplantae; Streptophyta; Magnoliopsida; Fabales; Fabaceae.
AAUAUAUAAAUAAUAAUUAAAGAGAGAAUUGGUGAGAUGUGGACAACUAGCACUCCACACAUGUUCUCUCUCUCCUCUAAUGGUCAUAGGAAACGAAAAAAAGAAAAAAAAAGAAAAAUAUAAGUGGUACCUCUCUUCUAAAGGCACGGGGACUGAUAAACUCUCUCUCUCUCUCUCGGUAACACGAAAAAGAAAAAAGAAAAAAGAUGAAAAUAAAAAGAAAGAUAAAACGAAACAAAAGAAGAAAAGAGAAGAGGAUCUUUUCCUCUUCUUGGAGGACAAUUCAUUUCCUUCCACCCCUUUUCCACUUCAUCACAUCUGCCACCCACGAAAAC